AUUUGACUCAACGCGGGAAAUCUUACCAGGUCCAGACAUAUGGAGGAUUGACAGACAGUUAACCAAAACGCAGCAGCUAGUUUAACAAAACUAACAGCUCUUUCAAGAUUAUGUGGUAGGUGGUGCAUGGCCGUUCUUAGUUCGUGAAGUGAUUCGUUCGCCCAAUCGCAUUUCCAAACAACAACAACUCAGAAUGCUGGGCAAUAGGACGUUUAAAGUGGCUCCUUACACCUUACAAAGGAAUGGCUGAUGAGAAACAACUCGAUCCGCUCAGCGUUCUAUUGGAAUGCAACGGACGUGAUUGCAAGCUUUUGUUUUGAGUUGCGGUUUUACUGAAAGACUCUACAAUCCGCAAACUUCAAUGAUCUGAAGUAGAAAACCUAC
This 384-nucleotide ribosomal RNA is filed under the name Globigerinoides sacculifer. RNAcentral describes it as "bacterial SSU rRNA". It matches the Rfam family "Eukaryotic small subunit ribosomal RNA", at positions 1193 to 1404 of the family's 1831-position model. The record is from RNAcentral. Lineage: Eukaryota; Foraminifera; Rotaliida; Globigerinidae.